GACGAACGCUGGCGGCGUGCUUAACACAUGCAAGUCGAACGGAAAGGCCCUGCUUUUGUGGGGUGCUCGAGUGGCGAACGGGUGAGUAACACGUGAGUAACCUGCCCUUGACUUUGGGAUAACUUCAGGAAACUGGGGCUAAUACCGGAUAGGAGCUCCUGCUGCAUGGUGGGGGUUGGAAAGUUUCGGCGGUUGGGGAUGGACUCGCGGCUUAUCAGCUUGUUGGUGGGGUAGUGGCUUACCAAGGCUUUGACGGGUAGCCGGCCUGAGAGGGUGACCGGCCACAUUGGGACUGAGAUACGGCCCAGACUCCUACGGGAGGCAGCAGUGGGGAAUAUUGCACAAUGGGCGGAAGCCUGAUGCAGCAACGCCGCGUGCGGGAUGACGGCCUUCGGGUUGUAAACCGCUUUCGCCUGUGACGAAGCGUGAGUGACGGUAAUGGGUAAAGAAGCACCGGCUAGCUACGUGCCAGCAGCCGCGGUGAUACGUAGGGUGCGAGCGUUGUCCGGAUUUAUUGGGCGUAAAGGGCUCGUAGGUGGUUGAUCGCGUCGGAAGUGUAAUCUUGGGGCUUAACCCUGAGCGUGCUUUCGAUACGGGUUGACUUGAGGAAGGUAGGGGAGAAUGGAAUUCCUGGUGGAGCGGUGGAAUGCGCAGAUAUCAGGAGGAACACCAGUGGCGAAGGCGGUUCUCUGGGCCUUUCCUGACGCUGAGGAGCGAAAGCGUGGGGAGCGAACAGGCUUAGAUACCCUGGUAGUCCGCGCUGUAAACGGUGGGUACUAGGUGUGGGGUCCAUUCCACGGGUUCCGUGCCGUAGCUAACGCUUUAAGUACCCCGCCUGGGGAGUACGGCCGCAAGGCUAAGACUCAAAGGAAUUGACGGGGCCCAGCACAAGCGGCGGAGCAUGCGGAUUAAUUCGAUGCAACGCGUAGAACCUUACCUGGGUUUGACAUGGAUCGGGAGCGCUCAGAGAUGGGUGUGCCUCUUUUGGGGUCGGUUCACAGGUGGUGCAUGGCUGUCGUCAGCUCGUGUCGUGAGAUGUUGGGUUAAGUCCCGCAACGAGCGCAACCCUUGUUCACUGUUGCCAGCACGUUAUGGUGGGGACUCAGUGGAGACCGCCGGGGUCAACUCGGAGGAAGGUGGGGAUGACGUCAAGUCAUCAUGCCCCUUAUGUCCAGGGCUUCACGCAUGCUACAAUGGCUGGUACAGAGAGUGGCGAGCCUGUGAGGGUGAGCGAAUCUCGGAAAGCCAGUCUCAGUUCGGAUUGGGGUCUGCAACUCGACCUCAUGAAGUCGGAGUCGCUAGUAAUCGCAGAUCAGCAACGCUGCGGUGAAUACGUUCCCGGGGGCU
This 1347-nucleotide ribosomal RNA is filed under the name uncultured bacterium. Its description in RNAcentral is "bacterial SSU rRNA". It matches the Rfam family "Bacterial small subunit ribosomal RNA", at positions 28 to 1382 of the family's 1533-position model. The record is from RNAcentral.